UAGGGAAUCUUCAGCAAUGGACGCAAGUCUGACGGAGCAACGCCGCGUGAGUGAAGAAGGAUUUAGGUUCGUAAAACUCUGUUGUCAGAGAAGAACAGCGCAUAGAGUAACUGUUAUGCGAGAGACGGUAUCUAACAAGAAAGGCACGGCUAACUACGUGCCAGCAGCCGCAGUAAUACGUAGGUGGCAAGCGUUGUCCGGAUUUAUUGGGCGUAAAGCGAGCGCAGGCGGUCAAUUAAGUCGGAUGUGAAAGCCCCCGGCUCAACCGGGGAGGGUCAUUUGAAACUGGUUGACUUGAGUGCAGAAGAUGCGAGUGGAAGUCCAUGUGUAGCGGUGAAAUGCGUAGUUAUAUGGAGGAAGACCCAUGGCGAAGGCGACUCUCUUGUCUGUAACUUACGCUGAUGCUCGAAAGCGUGGGUAGCAAACAGG
This 429-nucleotide ribosomal RNA is filed under the name Bacteroidota bacterium. RNAcentral describes it as "Bacteroidetes bacterium partial 16S ribosomal RNA". It matches the Rfam family "Bacterial small subunit ribosomal RNA", at positions 355 to 776 of the family's 1533-position model. Lineage: Bacteria; Pseudomonadati; Bacteroidota. The record is from RNAcentral.